GUAAAUCUUUUGUUAUAUUUUACGUAUCUUAUUUCAUUAUUUUCAUCGAAAUCCAUUUUCUUCGUGUGGCUAAUUUUAUCACCGUCUUUCAAAUUAAAUCAUGCAUUACGAGUACCUGCCACCCAACAUAACAUCAUUAAAACUGACUCAUUUCAGGACUUAAGAAAAUAUUUAGAAGUGUUUUAAUACAUUUUAAUACGUUUAGGACUUCUAGCUAGUUAACAUAACGAAUUUGGGAUAAUAAAUAUUUAAAAUUAGGAAAGAAGAAAUAUGAUACAAAUAAGAUGGUUUCGAUUUUCACAUUCACGAGUAUACGUUGUUUAUUUCAACUGGAAUGGAUUGAAAAAAGAAUCAACAGAAAUUAACAGUUGUAUAUAUCCCAUCUCAAAUACGGACUUCUUUUUUAAGUGUGACCAUAGAUUUUACUGUUGACCUUUUUGACGAACUGUUUUGCGAGGCAUCUUAAAGCAAAAUAUCAUGUUCUUUAACAUGGUUAUUAUGCGUGAAUCGUUUUAUAUUAAAGCAUCUUAACUAAACCAGUUGCAUAGAGACUGUAGAACAUGUCCAUAAUGGCAUUAUAUGAAAAUAUUAUUGCAUGUAUAAAAAGUCAGUAAAAUCAUUGUGCCGGUAUAAAAUAAAAAAAGUUCAAUUUCCCUGAGGGGAAAACAGCAGUAGACUUCAGAGAUUUUUUUUAUUUGCAAGCGCUCAAUGUUCAAUUGUACAUAUCUUCAGGCAGUUACAUUUUAAAAUAGUGCAAUGGUGCAUCGUCAUAACAAAAAACACGGGAAAAUUGCGGCAAACUUCACGAAAAAUAAUGUAAAAUGCACUUCAAGAAUACCCCUGUGCACACGCACAAAACUUUUGAAGCAGAUAGAAACAGAUACCGUACCAUUUAAAAAGGGAGAUAAUAACAGUUAUUUAAACACAUUUUGCAUGUAUAUAUAUUUAGUCCAACCCGGCAAACUGGCAUAUAGGGCCAAUAUCGGCCAACCGAUAUAUCUGUCCAUCAUAUUGGCCUGACAGACAUCAAUUACCAACCGCUAUCUGUCUGAAAUAAUAUUGGGCCGCUAAAAUGUCUGCUUUGCAAAACUGCAUGAUAUCGAGUUAGCUAGGCUAGGGGAGGAUACUCGCCCGAUUACAUUAAGUCUGGCUAAGGCGUAGUUAGUACUUUGACUCCUAACAGUAGAGAUUUUCAACUUACUUCGACGCGGACUGCGGACAGCGGACUGCGUACUUACAGUAGGGGUUUUCUCAAAAUACUUAAAGGUUCGCAAGAAAGAAGGGGGCCUCCGUGGCCGAGUGGUUAAGGUCGCCGACUUCAAAUCACUUGCCUUUCAUCGAUGUGGGUUCGAGCCUCACUCGGGGCGUUGAGUUCUUCAUGUGAGGAAGCCAACCAGCUGGCUUACAGAAGGUCGGUGGUUCUACCCAUGUGCCCGCUCGUGAGGAAAUAAUGGACGGAGGGGCAACUGGAGUCUUCCUCCACCAUCAAUGCUGGAAAGUCGCCAUUUAUGACCUAUAAUUGUGUCGGUGCAACGUUAAAUCCAACAAAUAAAAUAAAUGAUAUUUCGAGACAUUUCUGGCGUUAGUUAUCGUCCGCACGACUCAAACGACACGACAUGUGAAGUUUCGAACCAUAUGUACUACUAUAUACGAUAAUACUUUACAUUAAUAUGUUCAUACAUUAAACAAAUACAACUUGAAACAUGGAUUUGAAGAUAUAGGCAAUUUCUGGUUUUAAUUUGUGUCCCUCCAUACGGAUUCCUAAAAUUGUUUUUUCCUAGCACAAAAUAAGAAACAAACGCAGUACAGAGUACAAAAUAAUAUUGUAAAAAAAUAACUAAACAUUCUGAAUAAAAUGAACGUUCCGUUUAAUUUUUGUUGCAUAGUAUAUGUACUGUAUUCUCGUAGACUUCUAUACGAAAAUGGUCAUUGUUUUUCAUUAAUUCUGAUGAUUGUAUCUAAGUUUUCAUAAAAUAGACGUUUUAAUGAAAUAUCUUAAAUAAUUUAGUUCAACACUGUCUGAGCAUACAGGAAGUUACCUUUCAUCUCCGUCGAAGCGAUAUCCGAUAAAUUACCAUAAUUUAGCGAAAACAUCCUGAAUUAUUUAUGUAUCAGCAUGUUUGAAAAUAAAAAAAAGGAAAUAGCCACUUCGUAUUUUCAUAAUCUAAUAUCAGAAUUGCAUGUUAAAAUUUAAGUUUUAAAUUCAUGCCUAUUUUCUAGAGACUAUUCAGUAUGGACUGUCAGUCUCAGCUAGAAUUUAAUUUUUAUGUACCAUUAAAACUAGCUGUCAAAAUUUCAAUCUAAAACCCAGCGGAGACCGAAAAUUGUUUUGUGAACAUGGGGCCUGGGAAGCGUCCAAGGUCAAAAUUCCAAUCAUAUCCCAAAAAUGUUUUAUGGCCAGUACAUGCAUAGAAUUGUCAACGAAAUUAUAUUUUUGACUAAGCCAACUCCAAUGACACCAUUUGAGCAAUAGUGUGGUCAUUUGAUACAUCCAGCUUAGUAGUCAAGACUAGCCUUUUAACAUAAUUGACCGAAAGCUUUUUUUUAACACAUGCAUAUAUGGUUUGUGUAGAUACUUUGCUUCAGGAAAAAACAGUAGUCGAAACAUUUGAAUAAAUACAUUAAUCAAAAAAGGGUAUAAAAGGUAAAAGGAUAUUUAAAAAAAAUAUACCCACGCUGUUAAGAAUGCUUGUAAGGCCAAAUAUAUCGGAAUUCAUACAUACAAUAAAACGGAAAUUAAUAAAUCUUAUCACUGUAUUUUCUCAGAUAUUUUAAAUGGAAACAGUAUUACGGCAUUAGAACCGGAUGCUAAAUAUGUCACUGUUCAGUUAUGCGUGAAUAACUUAUAUACAGUUUGAGAAAACCCCUAAAGUAAGUCCGCAGUCCGUGGUCCGCAGUACGCGUCGAUGUAAGCUGAAAAUCUCUACUAGGAUGUCGUGUGGCCGAGUCUCGGGGAGACUUAACUGUGUAUUUGAGACCUAAUAUGGAUACACUGUUGAAAGCUCAAUACGUCUAAACAUUUUACUUGAUUCAGUUUCAGUGAUAUAAGAAGUUUUCUGAAGAUGCUUCAGAUAAUAAUUAGAAUAAAAUGCGUUUAUAAAAUAAUCCAUCGCAUCGUGCAGCGAAUAUACGCAUAUUUCUUGUUUCAUAUAAAUAUUUCUCUUCAUCACACGAUCUCCGCAUUUUGAAAAGAAAAUUGUUGUCGCGUAUCAUCUAACCGUGGUGUUGAAUUACAUAAUAAGCUCUAGCUUGAAUAGGUUUCCUAGGUAACUGAAAUACUAGUAUUUCAUUUACAUUGACAGUUAAUGAAGUCGUUUUGGGUAAUGUCAUGUUGAAAAUUUCGAUACAAAAUAGCUCUAGAAUGACAUUAUUGUGUAGUUGCAUAGUCAAAAAGCAUCAAGAAACCUUUUUUUAAAGAGAUGCUGGAUACAAAUCACUUACCUGUUAAACAUGCGCAUGUACAUGUUCUUCAGUUUUAAGGAUAAGUUAUGCCAGUUAUUAGUAAAUUUUGAUAAAAUGUCAGAUAGCUCUAAAUAGCAGUCAUUACACGAUCACUUUAUGUUUUUGUCAGCAUAUUGUACUGAAUACUGAUCGUUGCACUCUUUACAGAGUCUGUUGUACUUGAGCUAUACAUUGAAUACUAUAUGUACCUUAUAUUGACCACUGCACGUACAGUAUAGUGACUACUUUUAGCUGUAUACUGACUACAGUAUACGGAGCAUUAGCCAAAACGACUUUUAUGAAUUGUAUACCGAUCUCUAUGUACUUAAUAUCGACCUCUAUGUCUUGUAUAUUGACCAUUAUGUACUGUAUAUUGACCUCUAUGUGUUGUAUAUUGACCAUUAUGUAGUGUAUAUUGACCAUUAUGUACUGUAUAUCGAUCUCUAUGUACUGUAUAUUAACCAUUAUGUACUGUAUAUUGACCUCUACGUGCUGUAUCUUGACCAUUAUGUACUGUAUAUUGACCAUUAUGUACUGUAUAUUGACCUCUAUGUACUGUUUAUUGACCUCUGUGUGCUGUAUAUUAACCAUUAUAUACAGUAUAUUGAUCAUUAUGUACUGUAUAUUUACCUCUAUGUACUGUAUAUCGAUCUCUGUGUACUGUAUAUUAACCAUUAUAUACUGUAUAUUGACCAUUAUGUACUGUAUCUUGACCAUUAUCUACUGUAUAUUGACCAUUAUGUACAUUGACCAUUAUGUACAGUAUAUUGACCAUUAUGUACUGUAUAUUGACCUCUAUGUACUGUACAUAGACCUCUAUGUGCUGUAUAUUAACCAUUAUGUACUUUACCUCAAUGUACUGUAUAUCGACCGGUAUGUACUGUAUAUUAACCAUUAUGUAUUGUAUAUUGACAUCUAUGUACUGUAUGUUGACCUCUAUAUUAGCGACCAUUAUGUUUGUUUAUUGACAAUAGUGUACUGUAUAUCGAUCCCUAUGUAUUGUUAUUUCGACUCUAUGAGCUGUAUAUUUACUAUAUACUGUAUAUCGAUAUCUGUGAACUGUUUAUCUGUGUAUUGCAUAUCGAUAUCUGUGUACUGUUUAUCUUUGUAUUGUAUAUCGAUAUAUGUGUAUUGUUUAUCGACCACUAUGUACUACAUAUCAAUAUCUAUGUACGGUUUAUCGACCACUAUGUACUGUAUAUCGAUAUAUAUGUAUUGUAUACCAACCACUACAUACUGUAUAUCGAUAUCGGUAUACUAUUAUCGACCACGAUGUACUGUAUAUCGAUAUCUGUGUACUGUUACAGACCACUAUGUACUGCAUCAAUAUUUGUGUACUGUUUACCGACCACCAUGUACUGCAUAUCGAUAUCUGUGUACUGUUACAGGCCACUAUGUACUGUAUAGAUAUCUGUGUACUGUUUAUCGAACACUGUGUAUUGGAUAUCGAUAUCUAUGUAGCGUUUAUCGACCAGUAUGUAUUGCACAUCGACAUAUAUGUACAGUUUAUUGACCAGUAUGUACUGCAUAUCGAUAUCUAUGUACUGUAUAUUGACCACUAUGUUCUGUGUAUUGACCUCUAUGUACUAUCUGUAUCGCAUACUUUGUAUUGUAUAUAAUGUCUGCUAUAUACUGUAUUUCUAUAUUGAAUGCUGUCUGCUUUGUAUCAUAUAUUGCGCAGCAUGUAUUUAUACUCUCUACAAUGUAAAACAUAAUGCUGUCAUAUAGCCUACCGUAAACUGUUUGCCAUGCGCUCUUAUGUCAUGUACUUCAUGCACUGCUUACUGUGUACCAUAUAUUGUUCUUGUCUGCCACAUACUACAAAUACUGUAUGUCAUGUGCUAUAAAUCGCUUGUCAAGUAGUGUACUGCAAUAGUGUACUGCAAGUGCUGUAUGAACUGAUGAACUAUAUACUUUCUGACGUAACUACAUAUUAUACUGUCUGCCAGGUGCUAUGUCAUGUUCUGUAUACUGACUGCAAUGUACUGUUUACUGACUGCCAUGUACUUUUGCUGUCUUCCGUGUACUGUUGCUGUCUGUUGUAUAUUGUAUGCGUUGGUCUCUUUGUAUUGUAAAGGCCCUACUACUCACAAUUGCUGUGUAUGAACCUUUACGAUGCAUCUUGAGUAUAUACAUUUCAUAUUUUGUCGUCAUUGCUGUAAACUGUUGAACUGGUCGCCAUGCUAAUGCCUUACGUAUUGACAUCCUACACAAAAAGUUUCCAUUACGCUUUACGGUUGCUUUUUAUUGAUCAAGCCUAUAAUUAUAAACUGCGUAAUGUUGAAGCUAUGUGGAAUUUCACUUUCCCAACUUUUAAAGGAUAGUAAGCAAAUGGUAAGUCAAUCGUUUAAUCAGCGUGGACUAGGAAGUUGUCAAAUAAUGCAAAUAUAUCAGCCAGAUUUCUUGUAUCGUGAUCGCUAUUAGUGUAUUUCGUGAAUAAAUUAAGAGGAUUAUAGGCGGAUGUUAAUACUAUUCAUUUAUGAUAUAAAUGAAUAAAAUAUGGAAUAACAUCCUGUCUUAAGGAUGGUGCAGCAGUCAAAGUGGUGUAGUAAAUGACCUGUAGAUAUUUCCACUGUCGUUACUGAAGUAAAACGUCAAAAAUGCAGGGAAUGAUGGUGUACAGAUGAGACGGUUGUCUAUUGACGUUAUAUAGAACGCUUGAAGUACCUUGUUUGUAUCACAACAGAUAGGCAACUGAUGUCUUAGGGGAUGGUGAAGUGGACGUUAAAUAUGGCAGACGACGAGUUACUGUUUAAGGGGACUUGUGAAGUUUUUGAAUUGAAGAGGUGCAAUGAUGUGGAAGUUCUUGGGACACAGUUCAUAGACCCAUGUAGUUGUCGUAGUUAUUAUCAGUGUUCAAAUUAUCAAAUGUUGCACCAGACAUGCGCAGAAGGGACA
Mercenaria mercenaria is the source of this 6339-nucleotide RNA transcript. RefSeq lists it as uncharacterized. The transcript has 5 exons. The record is from RefSeq and is a predicted model, not a curated record. Lineage: Eukaryota; Metazoa; Mollusca; Bivalvia; Venerida; Veneridae.